This 253-nucleotide ribosomal RNA is filed under the name uncultured bacterium. Its description in RNAcentral is "partial 16S ribosomal RNA". It matches the Rfam family "Bacterial small subunit ribosomal RNA", at positions 524 to 776 of the family's 1533-position model. The record is from RNAcentral.
CACGUAGGGCGCAAGCGUUGUCCGGAAUUAUUGGGCGUAAAGAGCUCGUAGGCGGUCUGUUGCGUCCGCUGUGAAAACUCGGGGCUUAACCCCGAGCCUGCAGUGGAUACGGGCAGACUAGAGGUAGGUAGGGGAGAAUGGAAUUCCCGGUGUAGCGGUGAAAUGCGUAGAUAUCUGGAAGAACACCAGUGGCGAAGGCGCUCUACUGGGCCGUAACUGACACUGAGGGACGAAAGCUAGGGGAGCGAAAGGG